CAAUCGCUGACCACCACAACUUUUAAGAGAGGAAGCCCUGAAUCAAAGCUCAUUUUGACAGGUGUACAUGUGGAUGAGAGCAACUUUGUCUUCCUCAUAUUGAAAGUAUGGUUCAAGAGUUGUCAACAUUCAAGGCCCAGCGCUGGCUGCAUGCAUACUAAAAAUUGGACUUUGCAUGUGGUUCUUCUAAAGUUUAAGAAUAUGCCACGGGCCGCUGACUACGAGAGGUGCAAGUAGCCCCUUGGCCGCACUUUGGACACCCACGAUCCAGGUCAGUUUCAUAGAGAAGUGGCGUGUGCUGCUGAUGUUUCAUGAGAUUAGAGUUACAAGAACUCGAGACGACCGCUAUCUUUCACUCUAUCAUGUCAUACAUGCCAUGGCAGACUUCAUGACUUCAUGCAGUGUUAAGGUAAUGUAAGAUUAAGAAGCCAGAGGGCAAGAAUUUUGGUUAUGGCAGUUUGUGGAGAACUUGCUGCGACGCCUGUUCCGAGGAGCGUGUGGCACCCACACGUCGCUGCUGGGACAUUGCCGUGAGCCACUUCACUGACACUUAAAAUAAAUAAUAAAAUAAUUUUCGGAUGACAAGAAGAGCUUGUUCCUACAUCGGUGAGUACCUUAAUCCAAGUCUUGGUAAGCACUGCAAAACACGCCUUUCGAUGACAUAUAGGUCACAUAUACGCGACAUGACCAUUCAGACUGCAGUAACACUGCAUACAUAUCGGUUUUAUAUCUAUAUAUGAAUGAGGCCUCAGUCGCAUUUAAAAAAAAAUUGGAAUUGUGCUGUUCACACUGACAUGAAAAAAUCUGAAUCAAAUUGCAGUGUGAACGUAGCCCUAGUAGGUGAACAAUAAAAAGACUAGACUUGAUCGCCGGAAAACCAGGCAUUUAUUGCAGAUUUGAAUGAUCUCACAACAGGCACAAUAAUAUCAUAAUCAUAAUAAUGAUCCUAAUAGUAACACGGGAUACUGUUGUGGCCGUAAUCCAGAUAAAACUCAACUCUGAACCCCCGACAUUACUUCUUGUCAACUUGUCUGGUAAGGAACACAUUUAUUGCAAUACACACAAGCGCAAGUUAUUUAUGUUUUACAUGGCUUAUUAUCUGGUUAUAUUUACUGUAUUGAGUAUUAUGAGUGUAAAGGUGACUAUAUGGGUGUUAUUUCAUGUCCAGUAAUGUUAAAAAAACAUAUUUAGAAUGUUGUAAACAGUCAUUCUAUACUCUUAAGUAUGAAAAUACUUCAUUUUUAAGGAAGGAAUCUAUUUAUAAAUCCAUUUAUAAAGAUGGAAAUGAAUUUACCACGGUCAGGUCUGGAAGCAAUUAACCACGAUAAAUGAGGGAUUACUGUACAUUCAAGUUCCCAAGCCAACUACAAAAAAAACUGAAUAAAAAAACUGAAUAAAGAUAAUCCAGCCACUGCUUACUCUACUUAAUGGGAAAUGUGGGUUUGUCAACAUACUCUUGAUUAACGUGUGAAUGCACCUGGGUUUACUACUACAACUGCAACCUCAUUAGCCAGCAAACUAGCUUCUUGUUACGUCCAUGUACUGAAAGUUACAAAAUAAAUGAUACAAGUGCUGACAAUUGAUUAAAUCCCAUAUGACUAACCCACUUCUAAUUAACAAUAAACGUUCAAAGAAAAGAACCCAAAAACUGUGGAAGGACAAGCACCGUCCAGCUCACCCACGCCUGACCCCUUCAGGAUGCAGCAGGGCUGCAAGUGCCUCCCGUAUGACAUUUCUAUGUAUUUUAUUGUCUGAUUAGCAAGAAUGACGUCACACUGACAUUAAAGACGUUACACAGGCUGUAGAAAGUGGUGUGUAUGUAAUGUUUCUGCAACAUUGUAUUACUGGCAACAUGGCGACAAACAAACUGCCAGUCGCCAUGACCCAACUCGGUGUUCACUCAGACCGUAGGCGAGGCCUGCGCACUAAGCCGAGAAGCCACGCUCAACGGUGGCCUCCCCUGAGGUUUCUUUCAUGUAUUUGAUCAGGAAAUCUGCAAAUUCAGCAAUUUUUACAUACGAAAAUGUUAAACGAUUGGAAUCAUACAGAAAAUACAUUUCUAAUACAGAUCAGUAUAUAAAUAUUAAUAUUUAUCUUAUGUUCAGUUUUUUAUUUUUCAUCUUGACCUCCCCUGACCGCAUGUCACUGCGUAUAAUAUAGUGUACAUAUGCUGCAAAAUACCAUAAAUAUCAAGAGGAUUUGACUGUCAAACUUUGAGCUGUUCACUAACUAAACUGUAACGAAGGGAGAGAUUUGUAAAGAAUGGAGCAAAUUAAAUUGGCCAAAUUUCCAAUGGAGUUUUACUUUAAGAGAAGUCCCAGAGGUCACUAUGUAAUUACUUUCCCACCAGGCUUGGCUCUGGGGUCUGAAAUUAUAUCAUGCCUAAUAGGGUUGAUUUAAACUUAUAUUUGAGAAGGCAACUGCUUGCCUAUCACACUCUUGCGCCUUGUUAAUCCUUAACCAAUGAAUUAACCCUUAUUACCAGUGUUGGAAUAUAGAUGAGUGAUCUCUCCCUCUCUUCCCACUUGGACUCGUCUCCCCUCCGAGCCCUCUUGUUCCCUCCAUCUAGCGUUCUGUGAUGGGGACGUCUGGGGUCAGUGAUUCUGUCCUGCGAGUUCCUCCUGCAUUCAAAUUAUUCUGACCCUAGAGCAGCCCAAUCAGCUGACCAAUAAAUGACUUUAAACCCCACCCCAUUUCCAACAUCCAGCUGCUGUGCUAAAUAUUGCCUUAUUGCAGAAGGGGGCACAAGCAAACGCAUGUUGGCAUCACUUCAGUUUUAAAUGGAAAAACAUAGCGUUCACGUGUGGUGUCUUUUAAACUGCCACUCAUCCUUUUUUGUAAAUAACAUGCCUCAGCCCCACUUCACUGACAGACAUACACACAAGUUGAGUGCUCUCAGUCGAGAUUGGUGACGGAGUGUUGACUGUUUUGCCAGUGGUACAUCUGUGUUACUCAUCUCUUCAAACCAUCUUUAAAAAGCAUGUGCAUCAGAGCAGUCACUCUUCCCAUAAACCCUUCUGGCAGGCCAAUAUGUUUUUAAAGCAAAGUAUUGCUGUCUUGCCCCUGAAAGUAAAGAAAAGUUAUUUCAGAAUUUUUAUAUCUUUAGUGACGAUGUCAAUUUGUACCUGUUUUUUAAAAUGCAAGGAGCUUCCACGUCAACGUUUUGUUCAGUCGAGUUUUUUAGCAUAACUUAACUUACAUAAGAGUUUUUUUAGCAGCUUAUGAACUACAACGUAUCUUUAUAGCACAACUAAUUUUAACAGUGGAACUGAACAGAGGAACCAAAUGAGAUGUUAGAACAGUGGAACCUUGGUUAGCAUCGUUACUCUGUUCCAGAAGGUCCAACUCUAACCGAAAACUACUCUAUCCAAAUGAAGUUUUCCCAUAAGAAAUUAUGUAAAUCCAAAUAAGAAAGCCAAAAAUGUGAACACAAAGCAUGUUUUUAUUAGGUAUGCUUCGAUCAGGGUUUUAUGCUGCCGAUACGGAUCAUUCAGGACUGAAAUCGUCCGAUACCGAUCACAUGGCUUAAUUAUACUGUACAUUUUUUUAAAUGUAUUUAUUUUUUGUCCAGGGGUGCCGUAUAAAAGGGAAAAGUCAGGACAAUUCCAAGGUCCCUUGACUGCCAGAGGGCCCAAAAAUAGGCAAUUACUAACACAAUUAGUAAUUAAUUAAUGGGGGGGGAAGGCAACAUGACUUUUUUUUUUUCAUGGGACCCAGAAUUCCAGGCUGCACCCCUGCUACUGGCUAUAUGAUAUGAAAAAAGGAACCAUAAAGUCACCUUAGACAAAAACAUAUUUUACUUAGUUUUUCAAGAGAACCUAUAUCACUCGUGAAACUUACAGAGGAUGAGACACCUUCUUUAAGGAGGAUGUGAGAGUACAUUGGUGAAACUCUAGCAGGAAAGUGAGAGAGCACUCGGCGAACCCGGUGUCUUCCACCACUGAGAAGGGCUGGUCAUCUCGUCCGAUGAAUUCAGUUAUUUUUCGGGUUAUUUGCUUAGCCUUCUGUCAUGCACGUACGGGAGAGUGUUUUCCACAUGGCUGCGUUAGCUGCCGUUUGACUGAUGAUCGUACCGUGAGCCUUGAAAACUCACCAUACUCUGUCACGUGUGUGUUCUUCAAUUGCCGUAUUAAACUAAAGCUUUUUAACGUGCUACGCCCACAAGAUAGGUUUCGUGGCAUAUGUUGGCAGUUAGACAAGAGACAAGGUCAAAUUAACAUAGAGCAAAUCAAUUAGAUGAAUGUUAAUGUACCUUAAUAAUGUAACAUUAGCCGUGUGGAGGGCUAUGUUUCUACUACUGAUUACUGUUGAAUGUGUGGCUAAUUUAUUACGAUGGUAUGCCCUUUAAAGUUAACUUGACUUCAUACUAGGUUUAUUUAAUCUGCAAAAAGACAGAGCUGUGAGUUAAAAAGAUGGAAAAUAAACCAACAAAAAACUAACUAAAAUAAAGUAAAAAUAAUAAUCACUACAAAAACUCAAUCAUUAAAAAAAAAAAAAAGUUUAGAGUUCUUAAAUACACAGCCAUCAACAUACUCAUCUACAUCUACAUAAUAUGUAAUUUAGUCUUAGUAAUGUCAAUUAACUAAUUAUUAUUUCUCUCUCUUUUCCCUUGGAACACAAGAGUCUGUGGAAAGCGCAAAGGAGGUGGGCAUGCACUGUAUGUGAACAAACUGUGGUGCCAUCUUGGCCAUGUGAACAUUAAAAUGUCCAUCUAUACAGCAUUUUUUAAAUAUUGGUUUUCAUUAUUGGGGAAAAACCUGAUACCGAUGUCUGCCGAUAUCACAUGUUUAUGAUAUCAGGCUGAUAUUAUCGGUGGGCCGAUAUUAUCGGACAUCCCAAGUUACUGUAGCAUAGCACAUACCCCAUGAACGUAAUUGCCACUUGUAGCUUCACUGUGAAACAAAACGGUCUCCGUUAACUACAUUGCUUGUAUGUUUUAAAGACAAAAUGUCACAAGGCGGAAAACUAGCUAGCUACCUGGCUGACGCCAGUGAGGCAGAGUGAUGGCAGUAAGAUUGAAAGGUGAGUGAUCACACACGCUGUUAUCGAUAGGUUUAGCCUGUGACAAGAUGUCAUAAAUUGACUCCACAUUUUACAGACUAUUUUUCAUUCUCACAUUAACGAGGGACAAAGUACAAAUACUUUUAUCCGGUCGCACAUGCACGAGUAGAUGAAAAAUGUACACUCAAUGUCAAAUUUUAGCCGCAAAAUGCGACCAAUGUCCAGAGGUCUGGAUAUCACUAGCAGCAAUCGAUUCCCCUGCCUUGACUUCACCUAGCUACAGUAUCCAUUUCAAAGAUUUCUGCACACAUUUGUGGUUCUUGGUAUCCUCUGCAACGGAUGACUUGUCUGUGCUUGUGAAUUUGGAUGAGCGUCCACUCUUAUUGUGUGUGACCUCUGUCUCUCUGGCGGUUUGCCGUCUUGGAUAACAUUUUGACAUUCUGGUCUCCUCCCUCAGACACGGCGAUGCCUCGGGCCGAGGGUGAAUGGGGGGCCCAAUGAUAAGGCUUCACUCACAAUUAGCAGGCUGCAGUGGAGAGGCGAGAGGGGGAAAUUGAACUGUCAGAGAGGAGAAGAGAGAAGAGUGGAGGAGAGAGGAAGGGUGGCAGUGUGAUGGGGGAGGGGUGACCCCAUCCUGCAAAAUGGAGCCCGUCAUAAUUUGUUCAUUUGGUGCCCAUCAGCCUCUACCUUUCCUGUGUAACGCCACACUUCUGACCUUCCUCCCACUGUCUCACUCUUCAUUCCUCCUCUCUUUCUCUCUUUCGCCACACUCCAUUGCUCAUCUUCCUUUUUUUCACCCUCGCUGCUUACCUUCACUCAUCCCAACAUUUCCUCCAUAUUUCACGCUGUGUACAAAUUACACAUUUUAGCAGCUCUUGCAGUACAGCCAUCUAGAUUAGCAGCAUUAUUCUGAUUAGAUUCAUCAAUUUCUGAUUCAGGAGAGAAAUUACCGGGAGGUUUCAAGAGCAGGGCAAACUGGAGGAAUAGAGUCGACAAGACCCCCGGAACUGUUUGCCCUUCCUCUGUGAGGGAUGUGAUGGAUGGUAAUGUUCAUGUUAAAUAAGCAGAGAGGCUUUUAGCAGCUCUGUAUUUAAAUGUCAAAUGCUGAUGGGCCUUAAUGAGGUAAUACUGCUGAGAGCAAUUAGCCUGGUACAGACGUGCUAUUCCCAUCAACACACGGAGACUUGUACACUCACAGCAUUUGUAUUUAAUACAAUGACAAACGCACAUAUAAUCGUGCAGACAUUUUUUGUUACAUACAGUAUGUAGAUGUAAUUAGUCCAUGAAAGCAUCUAAAAGCAAAGGAUGAUUACAGUAUUAACUGCGGGACAUGCAGAUGAAUUUAAAAGUACAGCAAUUGAGUAGUGAAUUCGUUUCAAAGUCUCAUGUUAAGCACCACUAUAGCAAUUAACCAAUUAAGGCCUUUCCUUACCUGCGUCACAUUUGAACUUUAUUUAGUGUACCGUACAUUGGUGUACCGUAUCCACUCUUUCAAGUGUUGUUUUAAUCUGUGGCUACAAAACUGUCUUAUUACAUUAAAAUUCAAAAUACUACAAAAGUUAAUUCUACAUAGGAUGUUAAAAUAAUUUUUAGCAGUUUCCUUGUGUUAGAUGAGAUUGAAUGUGGGAGUUUGUUUACAUUUUCAUUGCUUAUGCAGUGAUAAAAAUGUAAAGUACAAUAUUUAGAAAAGAAGCAGACCUUUUUAAGGAUCAGCUCAGAUCAUAUUCCAACUGAUGUGCAGAGUGGAUGAGUCGGAGCAAAGUACACAAAUUAACAAGGGCAGUUGAUGAACCUGAGCAACAAGUGGCUAACUUUCUGCAUUUAAAGGUGGUGGAUGUAAACAUUGAUACAUGCAUUCCAUUGUAUGGCAGAAAUAACAACAGACUUGUUGUCAUCGUUGUCAUCAACAAAAUGUAAAAAACCAGCUUUGCUGAAACAUAAACAUCUACGUGAAUGAGCAGUGAACAAAACACAACAUAACUUAUUGAAGCACGGGCAAAAUCAAGGCAUUUGGAGUGCCAACUGCAAAAUCUACAUCAAUUUAAAUGGAAAGGUGUAAGAAACCAAAGUACUUGUUAAAGACGUAAAGGAACUGGACAACACAAAUGAUGACAUCAUCUCGAUCAUAAAGAAAUGAAAGGCACCACACAGGAAGACUUAUGCAGUCUGAUGGAAAAUAGUCAUCAACAUUCGACACAUCACUACAAUACAAAGGGUUAACCGGAACUUGUUAAGCAUGUCUGAAAGAAAUGCAUGACAUGACAACUUUAAACACAUGCAGGAUGUCUGCAUCCGAAAAGAUUUACGUAACUAUGAAGUAUUUCAAAUGUGUUAACAGUAGGGGUGUCACCACGCACCCAACUCACAAGAUCAGCCUACACGAGAUUGGGUCCACGAGACGAAGCUAGAUUUUACCAUUAUUUUAAGAAAAAAAUAGGACAGGACAAACGCACUUUUAUUUAACAGAGUCACAAAACAAUUCAGGUGUGUUUUCAAAUGUUUAUAGUCCCAACAAAUUCACGCUAAACAAUAUUAUUGUCGCCCUGCGAUUGGCUGGUGACCAGUCCGGGGUUUACUUCACUUAUGCAAAUAAGAUGCUAAUUAGCCAAUGACAUCAUCUAGCGACUUCAAGCACAUCCAAUAGCUACUGUUCUUUCUGAGGAGUUGACAACAGUGAUUGUCACGAUACACAUGACUUUCAUUUCUUCUACUAACUUGGAGCGUUAGUAACUAACUUCUACUGUUGAUUGCCAGUGCUUGUAAAGUUGGCGCUCAGCCCGAUGUAGCGGUAAAGUCAACUGCAAACAUGUAAGUGUUUUGAUUUGACAAAUCUUAAGUAACUUUGAAACUUUUCAAAUGUAGAAUUACAUUACUACAGCUUCUGCUUGGACAUAACGGUCGCAGCUGUUCAACAAAAAACAGCCACGUGUCACUCGCCACUGGGAACACCAAGUUAGGUUGGAUUGCAAGGUGUGCGUAAAGCACUUAAUGUGCGGUUCUAAUAAUGGCUCGCGCACUACCACUUCCAUAUUUCUGUGUUAUUCAUAGUAGCGAUGCCAUAGUUCACAGUCUGAUUGGCUUCUGGCAGCCCUGUUCUCGCAAAAUUAAAAGCUCUUGUGGCUCCCGUAUUUAAUAGUCAACUCACAAACACAGAAUUAUCUUUUUUUAUCCCUGCACUUUGUAGGUGUACGCUUGUUUUAAAAUGUUUAAGCAAACUUGUCAGAUUGUUUCCGAACAAGCACAUAGUUUUGGAAAGAUGUGAUGAACGUUGAAUGGAUACUUUGAUCGUCGCAAAUCACCUAUUCAUAUUCCAUCCAGUAGAGAUAAAACAUGGCAUUAUAAACCAUACUUUUACUGUUUUUUAGCUGUAAACUUUUAGAAUUACAAUAAGUGAAACUCAUGAUAAGGCAAGGCUGUCAUCAGGCAGCAACAAUAUGUUAGAAAAAAGCUCUUGUGAUUGUUCACAUUAGUGGUGAAAGAAAUAUUCAUACUCUUGCCUGAAAUUACUUGUUUUAUAAAGUAGCACAUAUAUUUUCAAAAGUGCAACUCAACUGUUAGUUUUAGCUACAAGUUGAAGUGACAAGCCAGUAUGGAUUUUUGGCUUUGAAGAUAUCUCUCCCCUUGCUCCCUCUCCCCCUACAAAGUGAGUAAAUUGCGAUAUGUCAGCAGAAGUGUGUGUGUGUCUGUGUGUGUGUCUGUGUGACAGGGAGGAUACAGGUGUUGUUAGCAAGCUUUGAAGGUGACUGCUGGUCUCAUCCAUCAAACGGGCUUUCCUCAGGCUGAUCCCUAAUGGAUCCCCUCAAUCAGAGCCGCUCUCUUUGUCAGUCGCAGUGCAACAAAAUGAGAAAUCAGGCAACUGGUCACACAGCCAAGGUUGGGACUCAUAUAAAGGGGACAAAGUGAUAAAGACCAGCUCAUGUCCAGCCUGUUGAUGAGUAUUGAGUGAUCUUGGCCUCUUUGGUCUUGGCAGAAGCAGAGCAUCAAUCUGAAAAAAACAGUUUUUUUAAAAACUCUUAAUUCCACUUUAUAUUCACUAUAUCCAAAUCUUGACUUGUAAGGGGAUGCACUGGCCUUGUACACACUAUGCUAGAUAUCAGUCCGUGCCUUUUAUUGCACUUAGUGCCUCAAAUUAACUAUUUCUAAUAAAUCAGGAUAACUUGAUAAUGGGUAACAGACUGUACUGAGUGUAUGCAAGGUUUUGAUUUCAUUCUGUGCAAUUUACAACAGCAAUGUAAAUGGAAAUGCUAAAUUGGCUGAGCCUCUUCUGUACUCUUUAAAAAAUAGUCUCACACUAAUGUAGUUAUUGGGUGUUAACACACUUCACUUUGCAUUAGGCCAUUAAAAUCUAUGAAAGCAGCACCGAUGGAACAUUCGUUCUAUUCAUCUGCUCCAUGGCUCCUUGCUAUGUUAAAUGCUGGUUCUGUCUUCCAUUCGCGGUUCUUUGAUUUGAGAAGCUAAUAUACUGAAAGCAUCUUCUUGCUCUCGCUCAUUCCCUCAGCAUUAAAAUGCUGAAACCCUUUAUGACUGCAACAGGCUUCAUUUAGUUUUUGCUAACAAAAAUCAUCUGCUGCGCCAGUAAAGAGCUUUUACAUUGUGGUCUGUGUUGCUAAUUUUCUGUAGGUUCAUUAUACUGUGUACAGGUUUAUCCUUAGGAAAGAUAUAGUGGAGACUUUAAGGAGAUGCAGUAAAAUAAUGGCUAUAAAAUGUCUUAAUGCAGCUAGUACACAACACAUUCACUACUCAACAAAGACACUUUAACUGUCAUGUCUAGAGAUGUAUCGAUUAUUUAGCCGUUACCUUCCAAUAACCUAAUAUCUUCAGCACUUUCAAGCAAGAGUGUGAUACACUGUUGCCAACUCUUGAGGAAGAAAAGUAGCUAUUGGAUGUCUUAGAGGUCACUAGAUGACGCCAUUGACUAAUUUGCAUAUUAUUUGCAUAUGAUUUUGUAAGCGAUGCUGUGGGGAAAAAAGCAUAACCUCGUAGGAGAGCCAAAAAUGUGAGUAAAAACACCUUAAUUGUGUUUUCAACUACAAAUAAACUUGAUUCUUAGUUUGUUCAUUUAAAAUUGGCCAUCACUUGAUAAAAAUAAAAUAAUUUUAAUAUUUUAUAUUGGCCAGCACCUCUCAAAAUCUAGACAGUGUAAUAAUUACAUCCGGACUCACCUACAGCCUGCACCUCUUUUCUUGUAGUUAGGACUGCUUAUUUAAUUUAUCACACAACGUUCUUCCAUCACAUGUUCUGACACACUGACAGGUAAGUGACCGAGUCUGAAUGAGGCUUGAGUGUAAUGAGUAGUCAUGUAAUCAAGAUUAAGAAACAUUUAUGUUUUAGAUCCUGCUCUGUAAAAUGGGGAGAUCCACUUUGGCAGCAUCGUGCCUUGCCCGUGCAUGACACAUGGGUGCGUGGAGCUCCACUAAGCUGUCAGUGUGCCCCGGGAGCUGACUGCACUGACGGAUUGUGACUGCUUUGCGACGGGGUGGACGUCUCAGCAGCACCUGCUGCUGCUCAGUGAGAACACAAACUGCAGAUCAAUACAUGCUUUCACUUUUAAGUCCCCAAAUACCAGAAAACUCUCCAACAACACAAGAAAAAUUUGCUUGGCUUGUCACUAGUCACUUUUGAGAAAAUUUUGAUACAGCAACCUGCAUUUUUUUUUUCAAUUGCCACAAACGUAUUAUCGUUACAAUUAGGGGUGCUCCGAUAGAUCGGCCACAGAUCAGUAUCGGCCGAUUUCCAUGAAAAAGCACUGUAUCGCCAAAUGCCAAUACUUGCUUUAAAAGGCUGAUCCCCUUUGCCGAUCAGUUCCGCCCCCAUUGCUGCAGCCAGCCUAUAGCGACCAUCUCCUACCCACUCUCCCUUCACAAAGCCAAAACAAGCAUGUCUGCCAUGUGGGACUUCCUGUCGUUGGGAGAGUGAUAUAAGUUUUGCACCCUGCAAAACACAACUUAAAAAGCUUUAGAUUGGUGCGGCAUUUGGGGGGCGGGCACUUGGCAGGGUGUGGUCAGUUUUCACAGGCAGCGGCUAUUUAGCCAAAACGUGGCACACGCGCCUGUGAUAGCCCGAACAGUGGCUGGAUUUGUUGGACUGGAUGGCCAGACGCCGUUGGCGGUGGAGGAAACCGGGUUUGCUGACUGCCUGGGGUCCUGCUAGAUGCUCUUGCAUCCAAAGUCUCCUUAAAGAAGGCACGUGAUCCUCUAAGUUUCACAAGUGAUUUUGAAAAAGUAACUCAAAUAUAUUUUUGUCUAAAUUUUAUGGUUCCCCUUUAUAUACAGUAUACUAUAGCCCAGCGGUCACUAACGUGGUGCUCGUGUGCACCAGGGAGGCCCCCCACUACCAUGAGGCUCCUGCAAGCCUGCUUUUCAGUCAGGUUUCCAGUGAAUAAUGUGACAACACUAGAAAGAAAUGCAUUCUGAAAUACAAAAUGUGAGUUGUGGAUACCAGCAUUUUGUUUAUGUUAUGGUAAAACAAACAUUCACUUUGUUUGCAUUGAAAUAAAUAAUUUUUUAAAUGUUCAUUUAAAAAUGUGCACUUAAUCGGCCGAUUUCACUUGUGGAUGAUCGACAUCGGCAGCAUAAAAACCUGAUCAGAGCAUCUCUAGUUACGAUCACCACAUUUGCAUAGUAAGAAGGUCAUAAUUUCAGAUAAUCCCUAAUGGGUAUGAUGGAUGACAAGUCAAAUCUUAUCAGGUUUGAACAGAAUUUGUAAUGCUGUAUGCAAGGAUGUUGAGAUUUGAUGAGGAUGGAAGGCGUAUUAUAUUUUAUAGUUUUCUCUGAGUGUGAUCCACAUUGUACAUUUGGAAACAAUUCCAAUUUUUACACAGAAAUGUUCAAACAUUUACAGUAUCUCUAGGAUCCUGUACUGUAGACAUUCACUUAACAGGUGACAAAUGUUUAAAUCAUGGUGGAGGUCUGUUUUGGUGUUGUGCAAAUGUGAAAAUGUAUACGCAAAAAAAUGAAGAACUGUAACAGUAGUGUCCUGCUGGUGGUGUCUUCCUUUGUCCCUCCUGUAGAUAGUUCUUUGCAUGUUGACUUACGUGGUGACAUUAAUUUUAGUGCAGUAGGUAUUGAUUUGGAGGCCUGCUCACAGUCAUACAUAUACUGUAGGUGUCCAGUGGUGGGCUUACCAAUCACCAUUCGUCAGUGUCUGACUGCACGAGAACACCACCGGUGUGAGCACCCAUGAGAAAAUGAAUCACUGAUUUAAAUGUGGUCCUCCGUAUCGGGAGGCUGUGCAAUGAUCACUUUUCAUGCCAAAUCUGUGCAAGUGAAAUCUAUUUGCAGUGCUAACCACAACUAAAAUGGUGCUCUGGAAUCUUCAACCUGUUGAAUAUGUUUAUACUAUCAUAGUGUAGAUAGUUUAGAUAAGAUAAAUUAAGGGAAUAGUUAUCUUAAAUCUGCUUGACCAUCAUUCCUUUAUCUCAUCCUUUCUUUCCCCAAAGCUAAUGACAACUCCUUGGUUACAGUCCAUGAUUAUCAUACAGAUAGGAUCAUAUCCCAUUGAUUUUAUGCAGAUGAUCACCUUUCUGUGUACGCAGGGCUGAUGGCGGUGGUAAUUUACAGAAGAAAAUCAAUUACCCUUCUCGUCUGCAGGAGUAAUUGUUUAUUAUUUUCCUAUUAGACCGUGUUGAUCAAUGUUAUGGAAAGAUUGCCCAUGAAUACUAUCAACAUAAAUAGAUUUGCCUCCAACAUUAAUGCUAGUUUUCCUUUAAUGACUUAUGCAAUGUCAAACCAAUGCCACAGGGUGAAAACCAAGCACUAACAAUAUGCUAGGUGUGUGUGUCAUUUGUUGGGAGCCUAUGCCUGUUAGUACAUUGUGGGGGCUCUGGCUCGAAAAUUUGCAGAAAUCUCCUUUUGUCUUCAGUUGAUUGAAGGAUUACAUUAAUCAAUUUGAUAGCCCCUUGGUUUUAGGAACAUUUUUAAUAUCUUGAUUUUUCUUGUAAGAUGAGCUGUCAUAUACUUUUGGUGUGACUCACAAUUUAACUACAAUAUUAUCGCUUUUCUACCAUCAGAAAUGAGAGGACCUUAACACUGGCUUCUGCAAUAACCUACUCAGGAAAACCUGUAUCACACAUAGAAAAAAUGAUGCUACCACCUAU
Dunckerocampus dactyliophorus (ringed pipefish) is the source of this 13096-nucleotide long non-coding RNA. RefSeq lists it as uncharacterized. Lineage: Eukaryota; Metazoa; Chordata; Actinopteri; Syngnathiformes; Syngnathidae. The record is from RefSeq and is a predicted model, not a curated record. The transcript has 7 exons.